RNAcentral lists this ribosomal RNA (478 nucleotides) under uncultured bacterium. Its description in RNAcentral is "bacterial SSU rRNA". It matches the Rfam family "Bacterial small subunit ribosomal RNA", at positions 30 to 506 of the family's 1533-position model. The record is from RNAcentral.
UUGAACGCUGGCGGCAUGCUUUACACAUGCAAGUCGAACGGUAGACCCUUUCGGGGGUUGAGAGUGGCGAACGGGUGAGUAAUGCAUCGGAACAUACCCAGUCGUGGGGGAUAACGUAGCGAAAGUUACGCUAAUACCGCAUGAGUCCUGAGGGAGAAAGCGGGGGAUCGCAAGACCUCGCGCGGUUGUAGUGGCCGAUGUCAGAUUAGCUAGUUGGUGGGGUAAAGGCCUACCAAGGCGACGAUCUGUAGCGGGUCUGAGAGGAUGAUCCGCCACACUGGGACUGAGACACGGCCCAGACUCCUACGGGAGGCAGCAGUGGGGAAUUUUGGACAAUGGGGGCAAGCCUGAUCCAGCCAUGCCGCGUGAGUGAAGAAGGCCUUCGGGUUGUAAAGCUCUUUCGGACGGAAAGAAACGGUCACGGCCAAUACCCGUGGCUAAUGACGGUACCGUCAGAAGAAGCACCGGCUAACUACGU